Molecule: ribosomal RNA, 254 nt
Filed under: uncultured bacterium
Lineage: Bacteria
Description: partial 16S ribosomal RNA
Rfam family: Bacterial small subunit ribosomal RNA
Source: RNAcentral
GACGUAGGGCGCGAGCGUUGUCCGGAUUUAUUGGGCGUAAAGAGCUCGUAGGCGGUGUGUCACGUCGGCCGUGAAAACCUGCAGCUUAACUGUGGGCGUGCGGUCGAUACGGGCAUCACUGGAGUUCGGCAGGGGAGACUGGAAUUCCUGGUGUAGCGGUGAAAUGCGCAGAUAUCAGGAGGAACACCGGUGGCGAAGGCGGCAUCCUGGACCGGUAUUGACGCUGAGGCGCGAAAGCUAGGGGAGCAAACGGG